GAAAUGCGAUAAGUAAUGUGAAUUGCAGAAUUCAGUGAAUCAUCGAAUCUUUGAACGCACAUUGCGCCCGCCAGUAUUCUGGCGGGCAUGCCUGUUCGAGCGUCAUUUCAACCAUCAAGCCCCCGGCUUGUGUUGGGGACCUGCGGCUGCCCGCAGGCCCUGAAAAACAGUGGCGGGCUCGCUGUCACACCGAGCGUAGUAGCAUACAUUCUCGCUCAGGGCGUGCUGCGGGUUCCGGCCGUUAAACGACCUUCAUAACCCAAGGUUGACCUCGGAUCGGUAGGAAGACCCGCUGAACUUAAGC
RNAcentral lists this unclassified non-coding RNA (304 nucleotides) under plant metagenome. RNAcentral describes it as "partial contains 5.8S ribosomal RNA, internal transcribed spacer 2, and large subunit ribosomal RNA". The stretch from base 1 to 105 matches the Rfam family "5.8S ribosomal RNA", at positions 50 to 154 of the family's 154-position model. The record is from RNAcentral.